This 603-nucleotide ribosomal RNA is filed under the name Balneola vulgaris. RNAcentral's name for it is "bacterial SSU rRNA". It matches the Rfam family "Bacterial small subunit ribosomal RNA", at positions 73 to 670 of the family's 1533-position model. Lineage: Bacteria; Pseudomonadati; Balneolota; Balneolia; Balneolales; Balneolaceae. The record is from RNAcentral.
CGAAAGCUUGCUUUUGCCGGAGACUGGCGGACGGGUGAGUAACGCGUAGAUAACCUGCCUUUAGCUGGGGGAUAACACUGCGAAAGUGGUGCUAAUACCGCGUAAUGCAGCGGGGCCGCAUGGCCACAGUUGUUAAAGCCUUCGGGCGGCUAAAGAUGGGUCUGCGUGCUAUUAGCUAGUUGGUAAGGUAACGGCUUACCAAGGCGAUGAUAGCUAGGGGGUCUGAGAGGAUGAUCCCCCACACUGGGACUGAGACACGGCCCAGACUCCUACGGGAGGCAGCAGUGAGGAAUCUUGCGCAAUGGGCGAAAGCCUGACGCAGCCACGCCGCGUGCCGGAAGACGGCCCUAUGGGUUGUAAACGGCUUUUGGGCAGGAAGAACGCCUGGGUUUCGACCUGGGGUGACGGUACUGCCUGAAUAAGCACCGGCUAACUCCGUGCCAGCAGCCGCGGUAAUACGGAGGGUGCAAGCGUUGUCCGGAAUCAUUGGGUGUAAAGGGUGCGUAGGCGGGCGCUUAAGUCUGGGGUGAAAUCUUGCCGCUUAACGGUAAAAUGGCCCUGGAUACUGGGUGUCUUGAGUGUAGAAGAGGCAGGUGGAAUUCG